CCUACGGGGGGCAGCAGUGGGGAAUAUUGGACAAUGGGGGAAACCCUGAUCCAGCGAUGCCACGUGAGUGAUGAAGGCCUUAGGGUUGUAAAGCUCUUUCAGUUGGGAAGAUGAUGACGGUACCAACAGAAGAAGCCCCGGCUAACUUCGUGCCAGCAGCCGCGGUAAUACGAAGGGGGCGAGCGUUGUUCGGAAUUACUGGGCGUAAAGGGCGCGUAGGCGGUUGCGUAAGUUAGGUGUGAAAUCCUUAGGCUCAACCUAAGAACUGCAUUUAAUACUGCGUAUCUAGAGUAUAGGAGAGGAUAAUGGAAUUUCAGGUGGAGAGGUAAAAUUCUUAGAUAUCUGAAGGAACGUCGGAAGCGAAGGCUGUUAUCUGGAAUAUUACUGACGCUGAGGCGCGAAAGCGUAGGUAGCAAACAGGAUUAGAUACCCUGGUAGUCUACGCCCUAAACUAUGAAUGCUAGAUGUUGGGAGAUUAAUCUUUCAGUGUCGUAGUUAACACGUUAAGCAUUCCGCCUGGGGAGUACGGUCGCAAGAUUAAAACUCAAAGAAAUUGACGGGGGCCCGAACAAGCGGUGGAGCAUGUGGUUUAAUCCGCCGGUCCGCGCAAAACCUUACCCACCCUUGACAUACUAGUUGUGUAGCUUUAGAAGGCUACUUCAGUUCGGCUGGGCUAGUACAGGUGUUGCAUGGCUGUCGUCAGCUCGUGUCGUGAGAUGUUGGGUUAAGUCCCGCAACGAGCGCAACCCCUAUCUUUAGUUGCUAACAGGUUAUGCUGAGGUCUCUGAAGAGACUGCCAGUGUUGAACUGGAGGAAGGUGGGGAUGACGUCAGGUUGUCAUGGCCUUUAUGGGUGGGGCUACACACGUGCUACAAUGGUGACUACAAAGAGUAAUCUUAAAAAGUCAUCUCAGUCCGGAUUGCAUUCUGAAACUCGAGUGCAUGAAGUUGGAAUCGCUAGUAAUCGCAGAUCAGCACGUUGCGGUGAAUACGUUCUCGGGCCUUGUACACACCGCCCGUC
RNAcentral lists this ribosomal RNA (1020 nucleotides) under uncultured bacterium. RNAcentral describes it as "bacterial SSU rRNA". It matches the Rfam family "Bacterial small subunit ribosomal RNA", at positions 338 to 1398 of the family's 1533-position model. The record is from RNAcentral.